RNAcentral lists this ribosomal RNA (494 nucleotides) under uncultured bacterium. Its description in RNAcentral is "partial 16S ribosomal RNA". It matches the Rfam family "Bacterial small subunit ribosomal RNA", at positions 28 to 507 of the family's 1533-position model. The record is from RNAcentral.
GACGAACGCUGGCGGCGUGCUUAACACAUGCAAGUCGAACGGAAAGGCCUGCUUUCCCUUGUGGAUUGCGGGUACUCGAGUGGCGAACGGGUGAGUAACACGUGAGUGAUCUGCCCCCAACUUGGGUAUAAGCCUGGGAAACUGGGUCUAAUUCCCGAUAGGACUGCAGGGUGGUGCCUGUGGUGGAAAACGAUUUUCUAGUGGUUGGGGAUGAGCUCGCGGCCUAUCAGCUUGUUGGUGGGGUAAUGGCCUACCAAGGCGGCGACGGGUAGCCGGCCUGAGAGGGUGGACGGCCACAUUGGGACUGAGAUACGGCCCAGACUCCUACGGGAGGCAGCAGUGGGGAAUAUUGCUCAAUGGGCGGAAGCCUGAUGCAGCGACGCCGCGUGGGGGAUGACGGCCUUCGGGUUGUAAACUCCUUUCGACCGCGAGGAAGCCACCUGGUUGGAAGGGUGGUGACGGUAGUGGUAGAAGAAGCACCGGCUAACUACGUG